AUUGAACGCUGGCGGCAGGCCUAACACAUGCAAGUCGAGCGGAUGAGAAGAGCUUGCUCCUCGAUUCAGCGGCGGACGGGUGAGUAAUGCCUAGGAAUCUGCCUGGUAGUGGGGGACAACGUUUCGAAAGGGACGCUAAUACCGCAUACGUCCUACGGGAGAAAGCAGGGGACCUUCGGGCCUUGCGCUAUCAGAUGAGCCUAGGUCGGAUUAGCUUGUUGGUGAGGUAAUGGCUCACCAAGGCGACGAUCCGUAACUGGUCUGAGAGGAUGAUCAGUCACACUGGAACUGAGACACGGUCCAGACUCCUACGGGAGGCAGCAGUGGGGAAUAUUGGACAAUGGGCGAAAGCCUGAUCCAGCCAUGCCGCGUGUGUGAAGAAGGUCUUCGGAUUGUAAAGCACUUUAAGUUGGGAGGAAGGGCAGCUAGCGAAUACCUUGCUGUUUUGACGUUACCGACAGAAUAAGCACCGGCUAACUCUGUGCCAGCAGCCGCGGUAA
RNAcentral lists this ribosomal RNA (500 nucleotides) under uncultured bacterium. RNAcentral describes it as "partial 16S ribosomal RNA". It matches the Rfam family "Bacterial small subunit ribosomal RNA", at positions 30 to 523 of the family's 1533-position model. The record is from RNAcentral.